This 468-nucleotide ribosomal RNA is filed under the name uncultured bacterium. RNAcentral describes it as "partial 16S ribosomal RNA". It matches the Rfam family "Bacterial small subunit ribosomal RNA", at positions 28 to 507 of the family's 1533-position model. The record is from RNAcentral.
GACGAACGCUGGCGGCGUGCUUAACACAUGCAAGUCGAACGGAAAGGCCCUGCUUUUGUGGGGUGCUCGAGUGGCGAACGGGUGAGUAACACGUGAGUAACCUGCCCUUGACUUUGGGAUAACUUCAGGAAACUGGGGCUAAUACCGGAUAGGAGCUCCUGCUGCAUGGUGGGGGUUGGAAAGUUUCGGCGGUUGGGGAUGGACUCGCGGCUUAUCAGCUUGUUGGUGGGGUAGUGGCUUACCAAGGCUUUGACGGGUAGCCGGCCUGAGAGGGUGACCGGCCACAUUGGGACUGAGAGACGGCCCAGAGUCCUACGGGAGGCAGCAGGGGGGAAUAUUGCACAAUGGGCGGAAGCCUGAUGCAGCAACUCCGCGUGCGGGAUGACGGCCUUCGGGUUGUAAACCGCUUUCGCCUGUGACGAAGCGUGAGUGACGGUAAUGGGUAAAGAAGCACCGGCUAACUACGUG